UCCGGUGGCCAUGGCGGCGGGGAAACACCCGUUCCCAUUCCGAACACGGCAGUUAAGCCCGCCAGCGCCGAUGGUACUUGGGGGGUGACCCCCUGGGAGAGUAGGACGCCGCCGGGA
Molecule: ribosomal RNA, 117 nt
Filed under: Acidimicrobiales bacterium
Lineage: Bacteria; Bacillati; Actinomycetota; Acidimicrobiia; Acidimicrobiales
Also listed under: 1 other name
Source: RNAcentral